RNAcentral lists this ribosomal RNA (508 nucleotides) under uncultured bacterium. Its description in RNAcentral is "bacterial SSU rRNA". It matches the Rfam family "Bacterial small subunit ribosomal RNA", at positions 28 to 524 of the family's 1533-position model. The record is from RNAcentral.
GACGAACGCUGGCGGCGUGGAUUAGGCAUGCAAGUCGAACGGUAUCAUCCUUUCGGGGGUGAGAGAGUGGCGAACUGGUGAGUAACACGUAGGUUAUCUACCCUCAAGACGGGGACAACCCAGGGAAACUUGGGCUAAUACCGGAUGUGAGCAACUUUUAGUUGUUUGAAAGGUGGCGUAAGCUGUCGCUUGGGGAUGAGCCUGCGUCCUAUUAGUUAGUUGGUGAGGUAACGGCUCACCUAGGCAAUGAUAGGUAGGCGGCCUUAACGGGUGGUCGCCCGACACCUGGGAUUGAGAUACGGCCCAGACUCCUACGGGAGGCAGCAGUCGAGAAUAGUCUACAAUGGUCGGAAGACUGAUAGUGCGACGCCGCGUGAACGAUGAAUCCCUUCGGGGUGUAAAGUUCUUUUAUAUGUGAGCAGUGCUUCUUAUAUUAACAGUAUGGGGAGAGAGAUAUUAGCAUAUGAAUAAGCAACGGCUAAACUCCGUGCCCAGCAGCCCGGGUAAA